This 625-nucleotide ribosomal RNA is filed under the name Penicillium syriacum. RNAcentral describes it as "eukaryotic LSU rRNA". It matches the Rfam family "Eukaryotic large subunit ribosomal RNA", at positions 9 to 649 of the family's 3401-position model. The record is from RNAcentral. Lineage: Eukaryota; Fungi; Ascomycota; Eurotiomycetes; Eurotiales; Aspergillaceae.
GAUCAGGUAGGGAUACCCGCUGAACUUAAGCAUAUCAAUAAGCGGAGGAAAAGAAACCAACCGGGAUUGCCCUAGUAACGGCGAGUGAAGCGGCAAGAGCUCAAAUUUGAAAGCUGGCCCCCUCGGGGUCCGCGUUGUAAUUUGCAGAGGAUGCUUCGGGAGCGGUCCCCAUCUAAGUGCCCUGGAACGGGCCGUCAUAGAGGGUGAGAAUCCCGUCUGGGAUGGGGUGCCCGCGCCCGUGUGAAGCUCCUUCGACGAGUCGAGUUGUUUGGGAAUGCAGCUCUAAUUGGGUGGUAAAUUUCAUCUAAAGCUAAAUAUUGGCCGGAGACCGAUAGCGCACAAGUAGAGUGAUCGAAAGAUGAAAAGCACUUUGAAAAGAGAGUUAAACAGCACGUGAAAUUGUUGAAAGGGAAGCGCUUGCGAUCAGACUCGCUCGCGGGGUUCAGCCGGCAUUCGUGCCGGUGUACUUCCCCGCGGGCGGGCCAGCGUCGGUUUGGGCGGCCGGUCAAAGGCCCCUGGAAUGUAACGCCUCUCGGGGCGUCUUAUAGCCAGGGGUGCCAUGCGGCCUGCCCGGACCGAGGAACGCGCUUCGGCUCGGACGCUGGCAUAAUGGUCGUAAGCGACC